GACGAACGCUGGCGGCGUGCCUAAUACAUGCAAGUCGAACGCACAGUUUAUACCGUAGCUUGCUACACCAUAGACUGUGAGUUGCGAACGGGUGAGUAACGCGUAGGUUACCUGCCUGGUAGCGGGGGAUAACUACUGGAAACGAUAGCUAAUACCGCAUAAUAUUCAUUAUUCCAUGAUAAUAAAUUGAAAGGUGCAAUUGCACCACUACCAGAUGGACCUGCGUUGUAUUAGCUAGUAGGUGAGGUAACGGGUCACCUAGGCGACGAAUCAUAGCCGACCUGAGAGGGGGAUCGGCCCCACUGGGACCUGGGCACGGCCCAAACCCCUUCGGGGAGGAGCAGUAGGGGAUCUUCGGGAAAGGACGAAAGUCUGACCGGGCAAAGCCGCGUGAGUGAAGGAGGUUUUCGGAUCGGAAAGAUCUGUUGUGAGGGAAGGACGGAUGUGGGAGUGAAAAGUGCACACUGUGACGGUAUCUUACCAGAAAGCGACGGCUAACUACGUG
This 505-nucleotide ribosomal RNA is filed under the name uncultured bacterium. Its description in RNAcentral is "partial 16S ribosomal RNA". It matches the Rfam family "Bacterial small subunit ribosomal RNA", at positions 28 to 507 of the family's 1533-position model. The record is from RNAcentral.